This 433-nucleotide unclassified non-coding RNA is filed under the name Anisopappus holstii. RNAcentral's name for it is "partial external transcribed spacer". The record is from RNAcentral. Lineage: Eukaryota; Viridiplantae; Streptophyta; Magnoliopsida; Asterales; Asteraceae.
GGUUUGUUACAGGUGCUUGGCUCUUGCUUGUGCAACAACUUUCACCUGGCUUACCUCUUCAGUAGCGCGUCAAGACUGUUGUCUUAGCGCAUUGUGGGUUUCCUGUGUUGCCUACCUAAGUCAUGGUAUUGUUUGGAUCGAAAUUUGUCCCUUUUCGUCUUUGUGUUACACUUGUAGCCUUGGAUGAACUUUGUAAAGCAUUUCUAUGGUUCACAUUGUUGUUGCUUAUGCGUUGAUGUUGUGGCCCUUAGAGCAAUGCUUGGUCUUUAGGAUACAGAACCUGAUGUAGGCAUGGGGUUUUCUUUGGAACCUUGUUCUGCCUUUGUUUAGUUCGAUGCAUCUCAAAAAUGACUGCUCGUCAUGUAAUGGCUCGUACCAGCAUGGCGGGUUGUGUCAAAGAGGAAUGCUACCUGGUUGAUCCUGCCAGUAGUCA